UGCCUCUAAUACUGUUGGACUAGAGAAUAGUUGCGGUAGGCGGAAUGUAUGGUGUAGCGGUGAAAUGCAUAGAGAUCAUACAGAACACCGAUUGCGAAGGCAGCUUACCAAACUACGACUGACGUUGAGGCACGAAAGCGUGGGGAGCAAA
Molecule: ribosomal RNA, 151 nt
Filed under: uncultured bacterium
Lineage: Bacteria
Description: partial 16S ribosomal RNA
Rfam family: Bacterial small subunit ribosomal RNA
Source: RNAcentral